CAGGGUGUAGCGCAGACCGGUAGCGCGCCUGUUUUGGGAACAGGAGGUCGUAGGUUCAAAUCCUGCCACCCUGA
This 74-nucleotide transfer RNA is filed under the name Picochlorum sp. 'soloecismus'. RNAcentral's name for it is "tRNA-Pro". It matches the Rfam family "tRNA". Rfam says of the family: Transfer RNA (tRNA) molecules are approximately 80 nucleotides in length. Their secondary structure includes four short double-helical elements and three loops (D, anti-codon, and T loops). The record is from RNAcentral. Lineage: Eukaryota; Viridiplantae; Chlorophyta; Trebouxiophyceae.